CAGGAGUGGCUCAUGUUUCAAAACAUUUUUUCUGGAUAAAGUCCAACUACACAUGAAUACGCUGGUCGGCAAAUCUAAGCUACAAGCUACGCCGGCACAAAAGAGAGUUAGACAACAAUGAAUUAGAUGUUUUGAAGUAGUGCUAGUGAGGAAGCACAAAAAUCAUAUGUCAGCUUAGGUAUAUGCAUGGUUUUAAAUAGCUGCCAUAGUUUUGUUAUAGCUUUUCAUAUGAUGUGUCACUACUCUAUGGUCAAUUGUUCUGCUAUUACCAUUAAUGAUAUUUUAGCUGCACU
This 293-nucleotide long non-coding RNA is filed under the name Sorghum bicolor (sorghum). RNAcentral's name for it is "long non-coding RNA (SBIC_LNC000274)". The record is from RNAcentral. Lineage: Eukaryota; Viridiplantae; Streptophyta; Magnoliopsida; Poales; Poaceae.